GACGAACGCUGGCGGCGUGCUUAACACAUGCCAGUCGAACGGAAAGGCCCUGCUUGCAGGGUACUCGAGUGGCGAACGGGUGAGUAACACGUGGGUGAUCUGCCCUGCACUUCGGGAUAAGCCUGGGAAACUGGGUCUAAUACCGGAUAGGAGCCAUUUUUAGUGUGAUGGUUGGAAAGUUUUUUCGGUGUAGGAUGAGCUCGCGGCCUAUCAGCUUGUUGGUGGGGUAAUGGCCUACCAAGGCGGCGACGGGUAGCCGGCCUGAGAGGGUGGACGGCCACAUUGGGACUGAGAUACGGCCCAGACUCCUACGGGAGGCAGCAGGGGGGAAGAUUGCACAAUGGGCGCAAGCCUGAUGCAGCGACGCCGCGUGGGGGAUGACGGCCUUCGGGUUGGAAACUCCUUUCGCUAGGGACGAAGCUUUUUGUGACGGUACCUAGAUAAGAAGCACCGGCUAACUACGUG
RNAcentral lists this ribosomal RNA (465 nucleotides) under uncultured bacterium. RNAcentral's name for it is "partial 16S ribosomal RNA". It matches the Rfam family "Bacterial small subunit ribosomal RNA", at positions 28 to 507 of the family's 1533-position model. The record is from RNAcentral.